Molecule: long non-coding RNA, 361 nt
Organism: Aphidius gifuensis
Lineage: Eukaryota; Metazoa; Arthropoda; Insecta; Hymenoptera; Braconidae
Exons: 3
Source: RefSeq, a predicted model, not a curated record
UUUUUUUUUAUUGUUUGUGUCGUGUUUGAUAAUAAUAAAAAAAAUAUAUUGUUUAAUGAUAUAAUAAAUUGAAAAUAGUAUGUUUUGUACUGUAUUGGAUACGAUUGUUGACAGAUUAAUAUGACAUUGAGUAAAAUAUUGUUGAAAAAAGAGUAAAUUAUUAUAUUUUUGCAACAAUGAAACAACCACCGCAAUUAAUUAAAUUCAAAGGAGUAAAUGAAUCAUUCAAUUAUUCUGGUUCUAAUUUACAUGGUAUAUUUGACAAAACUCCAAUAGUUGUGUUGGAAAAAAAUACAACAUAUUAUUUAAAAAAUGAUUGUUCAAUAAGCAAUAAUAAUUCAUCAAUUGAAAAUAAAUUAAU